AUAUACAAGAAGGCGUCAAGUGGAUCCAAGUGAGAAGACACAAGUGGGCGGGUGUUUGAAGAUGAAGGCGUCAAAAAUAAUGGGAAGAGGAAAAAAAGGGAAACACAUUGUGAAUGUGGAUGAAUGAAUUAAUGAUGAUUGGAU
Caenorhabditis elegans is the source of this 144-nucleotide non-coding RNA. Lineage: Eukaryota; Metazoa; Nematoda; Chromadorea; Rhabditida; Rhabditidae. The record is from Ensembl.